ACACAUGCAAGUCGAACGGUAGCAGGUAAGUACUUGUACUUAUGCUGACGAGUGGCGGACGGGUGAGUAAUGCUUGGGGAUCUGGCUUAUGGAGGGGGAUAACGACGGGAAACUGUCGCUAAUACCGCGUAGAAUCGAGAGAUGAAAGUGUGGGACCUUCGGGCCACAUGCCAUAGGAUGAACCCAAGUGGGAUUAGGUAGUUGGUAGGGUAAUGGCCUACCAAGCCGACGAUCCCUAGCUGGUCUGAGAGGAUGACCAGCCACACCGGGACUGAGACACGGCCCGGACUCCUACGGGAGGCAGCAGUGGGGAAUAUUGCGCAAUGGGGGCAACCCUGACGCAGCCAUGCCGCGUGAAUGAAGAAGGCCUUCGGGUUGUAAAGUUCUUUCGGUGACGAGGAAGGCGUGAUGUUUAAUAGGCAUCACGAUUGACGUUAAUCACAGAAGAAGCACCGGCUAACUCCGUGCCAGCAGCCGCGGUAAUACGGAGGGUGCGAGCGUUAAUCGGAAUAACUGGGCGUAAAGGGCACGCAGGCGGACUUUUAAGUGAGGUGUGAAAUCCCCGGGCUUAACCUGGGAAUUGCAUUUCAGACUGGGGGUCUAGAGUACUUUAGGGAGGGGUAGAAUUCCACGUGUAGCGGUGAAAUGCGUAGAGAUGUGGAGGAAUACCGAAGGCGAAGGCAGCCCCUUGGGAAUG
RNAcentral lists this ribosomal RNA (697 nucleotides) under Aggregatibacter kilianii. RNAcentral describes it as "bacterial SSU rRNA". It matches the Rfam family "Bacterial small subunit ribosomal RNA", at positions 51 to 737 of the family's 1533-position model. Lineage: Bacteria; Pseudomonadati; Pseudomonadota; Gammaproteobacteria; Pasteurellales; Pasteurellaceae. The record is from RNAcentral.